UGGGGAAUAUUGCACAAUGGGCGCAAGCCUGAUGCAGCAUGCCGCGUGGUUGANAGGCCUUCGGGUUGUAAAGCACUUUUGUCCGGAAAGAAAUGGCUCUGGUUAAUACCUGGGGUCGAUGACGGUACCGGAAGAAUAAGGACCGGCUAACUACGUGCCAGCAGCCGCGGUAAUACGUAGGGUCCAAGCGUUAAUCGGAAUUACUGGGCGUAAAGCGUGCGCAGGCGGUUGUGCAAGACCGAUGUGAAAUCCCCGAGCUUAACUUGGGAAUUGCAUUGGUGACUGCACGGCUAGAGUGUGUCAGAGGGGGGUAGAAUUCCACGUGUAGCAGUGAAAUGCGUAGAGAUGUGGAGGAAUACCGAUGGCGAAGGCAGCCCCCUGGGAUAACACUGACGCUCAUGCACGAAAGCGUGGGGAGCAAACAGGAUUAGAUACCCUGGUAGUCCACGCCCUAAACGAUGUCAACUAGUUGUUGGGGAUUCAUUUCCUUAGU
Molecule: ribosomal RNA, 493 nt
Filed under: uncultured bacterium
Lineage: Bacteria
Description: partial 16S ribosomal RNA
Rfam family: Bacterial small subunit ribosomal RNA
Source: RNAcentral